UCGAGGAUCUUCGGCAAUGGGCGCAAGCCUGACCGAGCGACGCCGCGUGCGGGAUGAAGGCCUUCGGGUUGUAAACCGCUGUCAGUAGGGAGGAAAUGCCGUGGGGUUCUCCUCAUGGUUUGACCUAUCUGCAGAGGAAGGACGGGCUAAGUUCGUGCCAGCAGCCGCGGUAAGACGAACCGUCCAAACGUUAUUCGGAUUCACUGGGCUUAAAGGGUGCGUAGGCGGCCCGGAAAGUUGGGUGUGAAAGCCCUCGGCUCAACCGAGGAAUAGCGCCCAAAACUACCGGGCUCGAGGGAGAUAGAGGUAAGCGGAACUUAAGGUGGAGCGGUGAAAUGCGUUGAUAUCUUAAGGAACACCAGGAGCGAAAGCGGCUUACUGGGUCUCUUCUGACGCUGAGGCACGAAAGCUAGGGGAGCGAACGGGAUUAGAUACCCGCGUAGUCC
Molecule: ribosomal RNA, 446 nt
Filed under: uncultured bacterium
Lineage: Bacteria
Description: bacterial SSU rRNA
Rfam family: Bacterial small subunit ribosomal RNA
Source: RNAcentral